RNAcentral lists this transfer RNA (70 nucleotides) under Camelus bactrianus (Bactrian camel). It matches the Rfam family "tRNA". Rfam says of the family: Transfer RNA (tRNA) molecules are approximately 80 nucleotides in length. Their secondary structure includes four short double-helical elements and three loops (D, anti-codon, and T loops). The record is from Rfam by way of RNAcentral. RNAcentral also lists the same sequence under 2 other names. Lineage: Eukaryota; Metazoa; Chordata; Mammalia; Artiodactyla; Camelidae.
GGCAUGAGCUCAGUGGUAGAGUGCGUGCCUAGUAUGCAUGAGGUGCUGGGUCCAAUCCCCAGUAGUGCCU